Molecule: long non-coding RNA, 425 nt
Organism: Peromyscus eremicus (cactus mouse)
Lineage: Eukaryota; Metazoa; Chordata; Mammalia; Rodentia; Cricetidae
Exons: 3
Source: RefSeq, a predicted model, not a curated record
ACAGAUCAGCAGACUUCUCUAACAGUAGCCCAGGAUAUUUGGAGUCUUGUCUUCACUCUGGCAAGACAGAAGUCUUAUCUCUGGAGCAUGUGGAAAACUGGAACAGAAGAUGAAGUUACAUCUUACAAAUUACAAUUUGUGGACAUGUAUCUACAUGGAAGCUGGGCAUUAUCAAAGGUGAUGAUGAGCAGACUGUGGACAGUAAAUGUCUAAUGCAUUGAACAAAUGAGCCUUGCUUCUGGAAGACCAGUGCUCUGUGAGCUACAGCCAAUGAACUGCAUCUACCUCACCACCUGAUGUGGCCUAUAAAGUAGACUUGAAAACAGAUCCAAAGAAAAAUGAUAUAUCCUGUCACAUAAAAAUGUGAAACUAAUUGUAAGUGAAUAAAUACCUAUAGGAAUAACGUCAUACAUUGUAAGACUUCA